This 228-nucleotide long non-coding RNA is filed under the name Elaeis guineensis (African oil palm). RNAcentral describes it as "long non-coding RNA (EGUI_LNC061262)". Lineage: Eukaryota; Viridiplantae; Streptophyta; Magnoliopsida; Arecales; Arecaceae. The record is from RNAcentral.
CGUUGGACUUUUGCUUCUUCUUUGACAAGGACUGCCGCAAGGGCCAUGGGAGAGACCGCCAGGUAUAAAAAUUAUUCCUCUCCAAGCUCUGGCUUCGCCAACAGCGGGGGUGAGCCGAGGUAGCUCCUUAGUUCUUCGAAUGCUUGUUGGCACUCAGGGGUCCAACAGAAGUUCUUCGGUUGCUUGAGAGUUUGGAAAAAGGGUAAGCACCGUUCGGCUGACCUCACG